GGGAGGGGCAGCAGAAUACCGAUCGACAGAAGGUGUUUGCACAGGUCGGUCUGCUAUGCUUCCCUCUUCUCUGGUGUUUGUGUGCUGUGUGAUUUUCCUUGCGAGAUAAAUUCCCUCCCGAAUUUUCCUGUUGAAAAGAAAACGACAUGUAGAUCAGGUAAGGGGGUGCCAAAAAAAAAAUAAAGCCUGCAUAGGAUUGGUUGUGUGGAAGAUAACAAAAAGUGUGAAAGAAAAUUUCUGAAGGAAAAAGGUGCCUCAAAAGAAACACAUAUUUUCAUUCUUGUGAAGGUGUAGAUCUAGCUUGUGUGCUUGUGAAACAUAUAUAUGAAAAAAAAACCUUAGUGCAGAUUGAUUAUAUUUUGUGAUUUCAGACUCUGAAAAAGUUGCUUCUCUCAUCAUACUUAGCAGAAUGUGUUUGAAACAAGAGAAACAUCAACAGAUGGGGUACAAAAGGCCAUUCUGGCCAGGUUUCCAUUGAGUGCAUGAAGGUAGC
RNAcentral lists this long non-coding RNA (493 nucleotides) under Setaria viridis. Its description in RNAcentral is "long non-coding RNA (SVIR_LNC011146)". Lineage: Eukaryota; Viridiplantae; Streptophyta; Magnoliopsida; Poales; Poaceae. The record is from RNAcentral.